AGUGAACGCUGGCGGUAUGCCUAACACAUGCAAGUCGAACGGCAGCACAGUAAGAGCUUGCUCUUACGGGUGGCGAGUGGCGGACGGGUGAGGAAUACAUCGGAAUCUACUUUUUCGUGGGGGAUCACGUAGUGAAACUUACGCUAAUACCGCAUACCCCCUCCGGGUGAAAGCAGGGGAUCUUCGGACCUUGCGCGAUUGAAUUAGCCGAUGUCGGAUUAGCUAGUUGGCGGGGUAAAGGCCCACCAAGGCGCCGAUCCGUAGCUGGUCUGAGAGGGUGAACAGCCACAGUGGAACUGAGACACGGCACAGAGACAGAGGGGAGGCAGAAGUGGGGAAGAGUGGAAAAUGGGCGCAAGCCUGAUCCAGCCAUACCGCGUGGGUGAAGAAGGCCUUCGGGUUGUAAAGCCCUUUUGUGGGGAAAGAAAAGCAGCAGGUUAAAACACCGCUGAGCUGACGGAACCAAAAGAAUAAGAACCGGUUAACAUGGG
This 491-nucleotide ribosomal RNA is filed under the name uncultured bacterium. RNAcentral's name for it is "partial 16S ribosomal RNA". It matches the Rfam family "Bacterial small subunit ribosomal RNA", at positions 29 to 506 of the family's 1533-position model. The record is from RNAcentral.